GGGGCUCUGAUUUAAGGACACGUGGUCGCGCGGGUCGCUGAGCGGGGUGAUUGGGAGCAACAUAGGUUGCAUCCAGGAGACUGAACUGCUGGAGAUCAGAGACUAGUCUCUGUGUUUCCCACGCCCAGCAUCUAGCAUACAAUGCUCACUCAAAUGCACGCUGACGUAGGGAAUGGAGUAGAUGGAAGAGGGCCUGUCACCUCGAUGACCUGGAAGAACUAGAUUCCAGCGACAGAGUUAACACCUGCAGGGGAAACUGGAACACCUGGGAAGAGCCCUUUGCUGUCAGGUUAGAGGAAUUAGAAGGGUUCCUGAUUCCCUGCUCUAGCAAGACAGCCAGUGACCACCAUGACAAUAUCACUUCGGAGUGUCCACUAGGUCUCAGGAACAAGGGAAAGGAACGCACCAAAGAUUCAAUUCAUGAAUAAAUCUGUAGGCUCCACCUUCAACAUUCAUCUAGAAACGGACUUUUAUCAUCACCUCCACCUCACCUUGGUCCAAGCCAUUGUCCCACUAAUUUAUUACUAUAACCAGUGAUAUCAUAAUGGAAGAUACUGAAUUUAUCAGGGAACAUUGAAUUACUAUUUCUUAAGAAUUUUGGGACUUCCCUGGUGGCGCAGUGGUUAAGAAUCCCCCGCCAGUGCAGGGGACACAGGUUCCAGCCCUGGUCCAGGAAGAUCCCACAUGCCGUGGAGCAACUAAGCCUGUGUGCAACAACUACUGAGCCUGCGCUCUAGAGCCUGCAAGCUACAACUACUGAGCCCGUGUGCCACAAGUACUGAAGCCCUUGCACCUAGAGCCUGUGCUCGGCAACAAGAGAAGCCACCACAAUGAGAAGCCCGCGCACCGCAAUAAAGAGUAGCCCUCACUCGCUGCAGCUAGAGAAAGCCCGUGCGCAGGAACGAAGACCCAACGCAGCCAAAAAUAAAUAAAUUUAUUUUUUUAAAAAGAAUUUUGAUUGUCUGUGUUCACUCUGAGUGUAAAACGUUAGCAUCAGCAAAGGCAUUAACGCAUCUCCAGGCUUUUCUACCAUAUUUGAUUUCUGAAAUAUUUAUACUGAUAACGGUUUACCUAGACAUAUUUAACCUAGGCUAGGCUGUUGUGCACGUUCUACUUUGAAAAAUAUUCCUGUGCAACUCUUACUAUUGUAACACAUCAAACAAACUUAACCGAAUUAUUUCUAGCAUCUCU
This is a long non-coding RNA of Physeter macrocephalus (sperm whale), 1191 nucleotides long. RefSeq lists it as uncharacterized. The record is from RefSeq and is a predicted model, not a curated record. The transcript is spliced from 5 exons. Lineage: Eukaryota; Metazoa; Chordata; Mammalia; Artiodactyla; Physeteridae.